GGCCGUAACUAUAACGGUCCUAAGGUAGCGAAAUUCCUUGUCGGGUAAGUUCCGACCUGCACGAAUGGCGUAAUGAUGGCCAGGCUGUCUCCACCCGAGACUCAGUGAAAUUGAACUCGCUGUGAAGAUGCAGUGUACCCGCGGCAAGACGGAAAGACCCCGUGAACCUUUACUAUAGCUUGACACUGAACAUUGAGCCUUGAUGUGUAGGAUAGGUGGGAGGCUUUGAAGUGUGGACGCCAGUCUGCAUGGAGCCGGCCUUGAAAUACCACCCUUUAAUGUUUGAUGUUCUAACGUGGACCCGUGAUCCGGGUUGCGGACAGUGUCUGGUGGGUAGUUUGACUGGGGCGGUCUCCUCCUAAAGAGUAACGGAGGAGCACGAAGGUUGGCUAAUCCUGGUCGGACAUCAGGAGGUUAGUGCAAUGGCAUAAGCCAGCUUGACUGCGAGCGUGACGGCGCGAGCAGGUGCGAAAGCAGGUCAUAGUGAUCCGGUGGUUCUGAAUGGAAGGGCCAUCGCUCAACGGAUAAAAGGUACUCCGGGGAUAACAGGCUGAUACCGCCCAAGAGUUCAUAUCGACGGCGGUGUUUGGCACCUCGAUGUCGGCUCAUCACAUCCUGGGGCUGAAGUAGGUCCCAAGGGUAUGGCUGUUCGCCAUUUAAAGUGGUACGCGAGCUGGGUUUAGAACGUCGUGAGACAGUUCGGUCCCUAUCUGCCGUGGGCGCUGGAGAACUGAGGGGGGCUGCUCCUAGUACGAGAGGACCGGAGUGGACGCAUCACUGGUGUUCGGGUUGUCAUGCCAAUGGCACUGCCCGGUAGCUAAAUGCGGAAGAGAUAAGUGCUGAAAGCAUCUAAGCACGAAACUUGCCCCGAGAUGAGUUCUCCCUGACCCUUUAAGGGUCCUGAAGGAACGUUGAAGACGACGACGUUGAUAGGCCGGGUGUGUAAGCGCAGCGAUGCGUUGAGCUAACCGGUACUAAUGAACCGUGAGG
This 990-nucleotide ribosomal RNA is filed under the name Escherichia coli. Its description in RNAcentral is "partial 23S ribosomal RNA". It matches the Rfam family "Bacterial large subunit ribosomal RNA", at positions 1932 to 2916 of the family's 2925-position model. Lineage: Bacteria; Pseudomonadati; Pseudomonadota; Gammaproteobacteria; Enterobacterales; Enterobacteriaceae. RNAcentral also lists the same sequence under 1 other name. The record is from RNAcentral.